UGGUCCCAGAAUGUUCAUCUUUGAUGAAACAUUAAGUUUGUUCUUUUAACUUAACAUAAGAAAUUUUCUGCUUUGAUUCCUUUCCAGGAUAUCAGCUCGUGUCCAGAAGCAUAUCGAUCAAGACUGUCUGUCCUGCCUCCAAGUGCCCAAGAAACCUCGUCCAGAGCUCUGUACCAGUGAGUGCAGCAGAGAGGCCGUGUGGGAAGGGGAGAGAGCUGGGGCCCUCGGCUCCCCUGCCCAGGUGUGCAAGACACGUGAAGGAACUGGGGUAGCAGUGAGGCCCUGUACUGAACACCUGGAAUGGACCCUGCGAGCCCAGAGGUGCUGCAUCUCAUCCUCUAAGAGGAGCCCGUACCCCACUUAGGGACCCAAGGCCUCCGCAGGAACCCGAGUUUGAGACCUGCACCAGCCUCCCAUACCUCCUUUCCUCCUGCCCUCUUGACCCUCUUUCCCUCCCUGUUUCUUCCCUCCUGGGCCUGGGGAGCACCAAAGAGAACCCAGAAUUUUAACUCAGGCCCCUCCCUAUUGGUCAGGGGCUGCACAAAGGGUGCUGUCAUGCCUGCAUAAACCCAGGAGGGCUCCUGGGCCUGGUCACACGCUGAGCCUGGCCCUGGGCAUGGAGACCGGAAGCUGUUCUGUUCUUAGGAUCAGCGAACAGAACGGGGUGGCAGGGGGAGCCAAGCAAGGCCAACUGGCUCACAGAGGGCCUCAGAGGCAGCUUAACAGCUGCCCAAGGGGUCGCUCUUCUGAGUUGUUCUGGUACUUCUCUCCCGCUUCCCGCUCAGAGCCCUCCCCUCCCCUCCCCACCAUUCCCACCCCCACCUCUACCCCUGCUGUUCUCCUGUAGUGGGGAAAGCACAGCUUCUCUAUCCGAGGGACCCCAGUCUCAGGGCUUAUGGUCCUCUGAGCACAGUGAGCUGCUUGUCCGGGGUGUCCCCACUGGCCCCUCCUGACCCUCCCUGGCUUCUUCAGAGGGAGGGACCUUGCAGAGAGGUGGAGGAUGGGGAUAAUGCCCUCUGGGGCCCGGCUUUCUGGGCAGCAAGGAGCCAGGAUGUGGGGAUGCCUGAGCUUGGGCAGCUGGUAUUUUCCAGGAGCCAGAAGGUGGCAACCGGAUGAGCAGGUGCCCAGCUGCCAGCAUCCUGCAGGCUGCAUCUGCCAGCCUGCCCUCCUCUGCAGGGUGGGGCUGAGCUGUGAGCAGGGCCCCUCAGCCUGCCUCCCAGGGAAGGGGUACUGGGGGUGGGCCAGCAAGGGUUAAUGGAGCCCACCAGCCAGAGCGGGGACCCAGCAGACAGGCAGAUGCCCAGAGGGUGUGCACACGGGAGCGGCACAUGUCGUGAGAAUUGUGGUGAGUCAGGGACCGUGGGUUUAGACAGAGUAGGCUGAGGGCCUCUGGAAAAAGACCCCUAUCAAAACUCCAUGUUAAACAAUUAAUCAAAUCCAGAGUCACAUUAAUUCUCUAAAGUAAAACAUCAAACUAGGAAUAUAAGCAUUCUUCAGUGAGAUUAGUUAAAACUGAAAAGUCAACAAGUAGUGACUAGCAUCUGAUGGACAGUGACUGUAAUGGGGUAUGUGGUGGGGACUUGAUAAUGGGGGGAAUCUAGUAACCACAAUGAUGCUCAUGUAAUUGUAUAUUAAUGAUACAAAAAAAACCCAAAAAAACUAAAAAGCCAGGAGUAGCUUGGCCUGGAAUGUUUGAAUAUCCCCAGACAAGAAAAUGGGAUCGGCAUAGCCCAUGUCUUCAUUGUGUCAAUUAAAUCAUGCUAUUGUAAAAUUUACUCUAGCCUGCUGAAAGGCCCAGCUUAUUUUCUUUAACUUUACCCAGAUGCUGUGUUUUCCUCCUCGAGCCCCUAAUCAAGUAAUUUACAACCUGGGCAAUUAAUAUGACAAGUGAGCCCAGUCACAAACAACAUAGUAAAAAUAGGAAAAACUCCAUCUUAAAGAUAAGAUUGCAUUUUAAAAUCCAAGAAGUCAAAAAAAUAGAUUUCUUAACAUAACAGACAGUAACUCAGCCCUCCUUGGGAGCAGGACGGGCAGUCUUGAUUGAUAUGUUCCCAGACCAGGAAGCUGCUAUCCUGGGGAAGAAUCAAAGCAAUACAUUUAUUGUGUUAACUCUGCAAAAUAAUCCGGAAGACUGAUAAGAAAUUUGGUGUCUCUUCAAAGAUAAGCAUUUAGGGACCAUUUAGUGGGUCUGCAUCCCCAGCCCUUUGUCUCUCAACCACCUAUAAAUCCCCUAGACAACGCACCACCCAGGACUCUCUCAUCCCCUCCUGGCCUGAGCUGGGAGCUCUGUCCUCUCUCUUUAUCUCUAAAUAAAAGCCUCUCAC
Molecule: long non-coding RNA, 2324 nt
Organism: Manis pentadactyla (Chinese pangolin)
Lineage: Eukaryota; Metazoa; Chordata; Mammalia; Pholidota; Manidae
Exons: 3
Source: RefSeq, a predicted model, not a curated record